AGGCCAGCUUGGCGUUGGUUGUCCAAGUUUAAGGUGGUAGGCUGAAAUCUUAGGUAAAUCCGGGGUUUCAAGGCCGAGAGCUGAUGACGAGUCGUCUUUUAGAUGACGAAGUGGUUGAUGCCAUGCUUCCAAGAAAAGCUUCUAAGCUUCAGGUAACCAGGAACCGUACCCCAAACCGACACAGGUGGUCGGGUAGAGAAUACCAAGGCGCUUGAGAGAACUCGGGUGAAGGAACUAGGCAAAAUGGCACCGUAACUUCGGGAGAAGGUGCGCCGGCUAGGGUGAAGGAUUUACUCCGUAAGCUCUGGCUGGUCGAAGAUACCAGGCCGCUGCGACUGUUUAUUAAAAACACAGCACUCUGCAAACACGAAAGUGGACGUAUAGGGUGUGACGCCUGCCCGGUGCCGGAAGGUUAAUUGAUGGGGUUAGCGCAAGCGAAGCUCUUGAUCGAAGCCCCGGUAAACGGCGGCCGUAACGAUAACGGUCCUAAGGUAGCGAAAUUCCUUGUCGGCUAAGUUCCGACCUGCACGAAUGGCGUAACGAUGGCGGCGCUGUCUCCACCCGAGACUCAGUGAAAUUGAAAUCGCUGUGAAGAUGCAGUGUAUCCGCGGCUAGACGGAAAGACCCCGUGAACCUUUACUGUAGCUUUGCACUGGACUUUGAGCCUGCUUGUGUAGGAUAGGUGGGAGGCUUUGAAGCGUGGACGCCAGUUCGCGUGGAGCCAUCCUUGAAAUACCACCCUGGCAUGCUUGAGGUUCUAACUCUGGUCCGUAAUCCGGAUCGAGGACAGUGUAUGGUGGGCAGUUUGACUGGGGCGGUCUCCUCCUAAAGAGUAACGGAGGAGUACGAAGGUGCGCUCAGACCGGUCGGAAAUCGGUCGCAGAGUAUAAAGGCAAAAGCGCGCUUGACUGCGAGACAGACACGUCGAGCAGGUACGAAAGUAGGUCUUAGUGAUCCGGUGGUUCUGUAUGGAAGGGCCAUCGCUCAACGGAUAAAAGGUACUCCGGGGAUAACAGGCUGAUACCGCCCAAGAGUUCAUAUCGACGGCGGUGUUUGGCACCUCGAUGUCGGCUCAUCACAUCCUGGGGCUGAAGCCGGUCCCAAGGGUAUGGCUGUUCGCCAUUUAAAGUGGUACGCGAGCUGGGUUUAGAACGUCGUGAGACAGUUCGGUCCCUAUCUGCCGUGGACGUUUGAGAUUUGAGAGGGGCUGCUCCUAGUACGAGAGGACCGGAGCGGACGAACCUCUGGUGUUCCGGUUGUCACGCCAGUGGCAUUGCCGGGUAGCUAUGUUCGGAAAAGAUAACCGCUGAAAGCAUCUAAGCGGGAAACUUGCCUCAAGAUGAGAUCUCACUGGGAACUUGAUUCCCCUGAAGGGCCGUCGAAGACUACGACGUUGAUAGGCUGGGUGUGUAAGCGUUGUGAGGCGUUGAGCUAACCAGUACUAAUUGCCCGUGAG
RNAcentral lists this ribosomal RNA (1456 nucleotides) under metagenome. RNAcentral's name for it is "bacterial LSU rRNA". It matches the Rfam family "Bacterial large subunit ribosomal RNA", at positions 1484 to 2915 of the family's 2925-position model. The record is from RNAcentral.